GGGUUGUGAGGUUAAGCGACUAAGCGUACACGGUGGAUGCCCUGGCAGUCAGAGGCGAUGAAGGGCGUGCUAAUCUGCGAUAAGCGCCGGUAAGGUGAUAUGAACCGUUAUAACCGGCGAUACCCGAAUGGGGAAACCCAGUGUGACUCGUCACACUAUCAUUAACUGAAUCCAUAGGUUAAUGAGGCGAACCGGGGGAACUGAAACAUCUAAGUACCCCGAGGAAAAGAAAUCAACCGAGAUUCCCCCAGUAGCGGCGAGCGAACGGGGAGGAGCCCAGAGCCUGAAUCAGCAUGUGUGUUAGUGGAAGCGUCUGGAAAGGCGCGCGAUACAGGGUGACAGCCCCGUACACAAAAGCGCAUGUGCUGUGAGCUCGAUGAGUAGGGCGGGACACGUGAUAUCCUGUCUGAAUAUGGGGGGACCAUCCUCCAAGGCUAAAUACUCCUGACUGACCGAUAGUGAACCAGUACCGUGAGGGAAAGGCGAAAAGAACCCCGGCGAGGGGAGUGAAAAAGAACCUGAAACCGUGUACGUACAAGCAGUGGGAGCACAGGUUUACCUGUGUGACUGCGUACCUUUUGUAUAAUGGGUCAGCGACUUAUAUUCUGUAGCAAGGUUAACCGAAUAGGGGAGCCGGAGGGAAACCGAGUCUUAACCGGGCGUUAAGUUGCAGGGUAUAGACCCGAAACCCGGUGAUCUAGCCAUGGGCAGGUUGAAGGUUGGGUAACACUAACUGGAGGACCGAACCGACUAAUGUUGAAAAAUUAGCGGAUGACCUGUGGCUGGGGGUGAAAGGCCAAUCAAACCGGGAGAUAGCUGGUUCUCCCCGAAAGCUAUUUAGGUAGCGCCUCGUGAAUUCAUCUCCGGGGGUAGAGCACUGUUUCGGCUAGGGGGCCAUCCCGGCUUACCAACCCGAUGCAAACUGCGAAUACCGGAGAAUGUUAUCACGGGAGACACACGGCGGGUGCUAACGUCCGUCGUGAAGAGGGAAACAACCCAGACCGCCAGCUAAGGUCCCAAAGUCAUGGUUAAGUGGGAAACGAUGUGGGAAGGCCCAGACAGCCAGGAUGUUGGCUUAGAAGCAGCCAUCAUUUAAAGAAAGCGUAAUAGCUCACUGGUCGAGUCGGCCUGCGCGGAAGAUGUAACGGGGCUAAACCAUGCACCGAAGCUGCGGCAGCGACGCUGAUGCGUUGUUGGGUAGGGGAGCGUUCUGUAAGCCUGCGAAGGUGGCCUGUGAGGGUUGCUGGAGGUAUCAGAAGUGCGAAUGCUGACAUAAGUAACGAUAAAGCGGGUGAAAAGCCCGCUCGCCGGAAGACCAAGGGUUCCUGUCCAACGUUAAUCGGGGCAGGGUGAGUCGACCCCUAAGGCGAGGCCGAAAGGCGUAGUCGAUGGGAAACGGGUUAAUAUUCCCGUACUUGGUGUUACUGCGAAGGGGGGACGGAGAAGGCUAUGUUGGCCGGGCGACGGUUGUCCCGGUUUAAGCGUGUAGGUGUGUGUUCCAGGUAAAUCCGGUU
RNAcentral lists this ribosomal RNA (1514 nucleotides) under Salmonella enterica. RNAcentral's name for it is "partial 23S ribosomal RNA". It matches the Rfam family "Bacterial large subunit ribosomal RNA", at positions 1 to 1547 of the family's 2925-position model. Lineage: Bacteria; Pseudomonadati; Pseudomonadota; Gammaproteobacteria; Enterobacterales; Enterobacteriaceae. The record is from RNAcentral.